RNAcentral lists this ribosomal RNA (406 nucleotides) under uncultured bacterium. Its description in RNAcentral is "partial 16S ribosomal RNA". It matches the Rfam family "Bacterial small subunit ribosomal RNA", at positions 30 to 526 of the family's 1533-position model. The record is from RNAcentral.
AUUGAACGCUGGCGGCAGGCCUAACACAUGCAAGUCGAACGAGAGGCGGACGGGUGAGUAAGGUCUGGGAAAAUGCGAGGUGGAGGGGGAUAACUACUGGAAACGGUAGCUAAUACCGUAUACAAUAGGAUGUGCCCAGAUGGGAUUAGCUAGUAGGUGGGGUAAACGCUAACCAAGGCGCCGAUCCCUAGCUGGACUGAGAGGAUGACCAGCCACACUGGAACUGAGACACGGUCCAGACUCCUACGGGAGGCAGCAGUGGGGAAUAUUGCACAAUGGGCGCAAGCCUGAUGCAGCCAUGCCGCGUGUAUGAAGAAGGCCUUCGGGUUGUAAAGUACUUUCAGCGGGGAGGCGUUACUCGCAGAAUAAGCACCGGCUAACUCCGUGCCAGCAGCCGCGGUAAUUC